Diceros bicornis minor is the source of this 1038-nucleotide long non-coding RNA. RefSeq lists it as uncharacterized. The transcript is spliced from 3 exons. The record is from RefSeq and is a predicted model, not a curated record. Lineage: Eukaryota; Metazoa; Chordata; Mammalia; Perissodactyla; Rhinocerotidae.
CACGCCCACACCAGGCCACAAUGAUGGCCGCCGCCAAUGUCCCAGUCCCUGGAGAGGUCUCACCUCUCACCGAGAUGCACUCAGGGCCUAUUAGUUGCCGCUGUCAACUGAGGAGCUUUGAGGAUCAAAAGCAAACCUAGAAAGCUGGACUGGAAAGGAGGAAUAGGUCUUUCCAAAGGAGUCACAUCUGAUCAAGUUGUUCCUGGCUGUCUAUCCCCUCCAGGGUAAUGUCUCAUCUCCUUACCUUGGCGUAAAAGGCAAAUCUUAAUCUGACCCAGGUGUCCUCUCCGAUGUUCUCUCUCCACACUUUUUACACUGUUUUGCACACAGCUGCACUUCCCGGGACCCGGGCACACUGGAAUCACCUCAUUUGUUGGACUUGCUGGAUCUUUGCAUAUUCUCUAAUUCCAUGUGGAUUUAUUGAGUGUCUCAGGUGUACCACACUGUGUUCUAGGCUCAGGGAGAGAGAAGAGGACAGUCAAAUUUCUUACAUUAUAAUGAUAAAUGGACAUCAAACUAACAAAUAAAUAUAUAAACAGUGUUGGAAAGAAAUACUCCUCAGAGAGUUAAUGCCCAAUAAAGGGAUAGAGAGUGAUAGAGGCCACCAUUUUAAAGCAUGUGGAUGAGGAAGGUACCUCUGAGGAGAGGAUGUUCAAGUAGAGACCUGAAUUAAAGGAGUGAAAAAGCCAUAAAAAUAUCUGGGGAACGAGGGGAGAUUCUAGGCUGGGGUAACAGUGGGACGAUUAGUGCACAAGAUCAAGGAGAAUCAUUCACAAUAGCCAAGACGUGGAAGCAACCCAAGUGUCCAUAAAAGGAUGAAUGGAUAGAGAAGAUGUGGUAUAUAUACAUAUACAUAAUGGAAUACUAUUCAGCCAUAAAAAAGACAAAAUCGUUCCAUUUGAGACAACAUGGAUGCACCCUGAGGGUAUUAUGCUAAGCAAAAUAAGCCAGACAGAGAGAUACAAGCUCCGUAUGGUUUCACUCAUAUGUGGAAGAUAAACAAACACAUGGAUAAGGAAAACAGAUUGGUGGUUACCA